Molecule: ribosomal RNA, 468 nt
Filed under: uncultured bacterium
Lineage: Bacteria
Description: partial 16S ribosomal RNA
Rfam family: Bacterial small subunit ribosomal RNA
Source: RNAcentral
GACGAACGCUGGCGGCGUGCUUAACACAUGCAAGUCGAACGGAAAGGCCCUGCUUUUGUGGGGUGCUCGAGUGGCGAACGGGUGAGUAACACGUGAGUAACCUGCCCUUGACUUUGGGAUAACUUCAGGAAACUGGGGCUAAUACCGGAUAGGAGCUCCUGCUGCAUGGUGGGGGUUGGAAAGUUUCGGCGGUUGGGGAUGGACUCGCGGCUUAUCAGCUUGUUGGUGGGGUAGUGGCUUACCAAGGCUUUGACGGGUAGCCGGCCUGGGAGGGUGACCGGGCACAUUGGGACUGAGAGACGGCCCAGAGUCCAACGGGAGGCAGCAGGGGGGAGUAUUGCACAAUGGGCGGAAGCCUGAUGCAGCAACGCCGCGUGCGGGAUGACGGCCUUCGGGUUGUAAACCGCUUUCGCCUGUGACGAAGCGUGAGUGACGGUAAUGGGUAAAGAAGCACCGGCUAACUACGUG